This 225-nucleotide long non-coding RNA is filed under the name Gossypium barbadense (sea-island cotton). Its description in RNAcentral is "long non-coding RNA (GBAR_LNC005585)". The record is from RNAcentral. Lineage: Eukaryota; Viridiplantae; Streptophyta; Magnoliopsida; Malvales; Malvaceae.
CUUCAUCUAACAACAACCAUAUUUUUCCCUUCUACUUCCUACCAUGGCCAAAUGCAUCACAACACCAUACCAUUUCAAUUUUUGGUCAUGGUUAAACAAAGAACUUAAUGUCUCACUCAAAAAUGCUAAAAAGAAGAUUCAAGAAUCAUCAAUCCACCAUCACAUGCACCAUUACAAAGCUUCACUUUUAGCAUGCAAAUGAUAUCAACACAAAUCCACCUUAGC